GAUGAACGCUGGCGGCGUGCUUAACACAUGCAAGUCGAACGAUGAAGCCCAGCUUGCUGGGUGGAUUAGUGGCGAACGGGUGAGUAACACGUGAGUAACCUGCCCUUAACUCUGGGAUAAGCCUGGGAAACUGGGUCUAAUACCGGAGAGGAGCGUCCACCGCAUGGGGGGUGGGGGAGAGAUUUAUCGGUUUUGGAUGGACUCGCGGCCUAUCAGCUUGUUGGUGAGGUAAUGGCUCACCAAGGCGACGACGGGUAGCCGGCCUGAGAGGGUGACCGGCCACACUGGGACUGAGACACGGCCCAGACUCCUACGGGAGGCAGCAGUGGGGAAUAUUGCACAAUGGGCGCAAGCCUGAUGCAGCGACGCCGCGUGCGGGAUGACGGCCUUCGGGUUGUAAACCUCUUUCAGUAGGGACGAAGCGAGAGUGACGGUACCUGCAGAAGAAGCACCGGCUAACUACGUG
RNAcentral lists this ribosomal RNA (466 nucleotides) under uncultured bacterium. RNAcentral's name for it is "partial 16S ribosomal RNA". It matches the Rfam family "Bacterial small subunit ribosomal RNA", at positions 28 to 507 of the family's 1533-position model. The record is from RNAcentral.